Non-coding RNA from Callorhinus ursinus (northern fur seal), 281 nucleotides. The record is from RefSeq and is a predicted model, not a curated record. NCBI's taxonomy places the organism in Eukaryota, Metazoa, Chordata, Mammalia, Carnivora, Otariidae.
CAGGCUGGAUGAAUGCAACAGUCCUAAUGAUAAUCAGAAGCUUCAGGUAACACCAAGAGCUUGUUAAGGCCCAAGGGACUCAUUUAUACAUUUGAAGACACUUCAAACUAUGGCUGAAGGAUGGUUUGAGGGGAAGAAGUUGGUGAAGAUGGAAUGAUUGCAAAUAAAAGAGAAGGGCCCAUGAAUGGAGCGAGAAUCCCGGGAAGAUAGGAGUCAAUAAUUAACAACUACACCACCACCUGCAACAUCGCCAGAACUGCCAGAAGAACCCUACAGAAAUG